GAUGAACGCUGGCGGCGUGCCUAACACAUGCAAGUCGAACGGGAAUCUUCGGAUUCUAGUGGCGGACGGGUGAGUAACGCGUAAGAAUCUAACUUCAGGACGGGGACAACAGUUGGAAACGACUGCUAAUACCCGAUGUGCCGAAAGGUGAAACCUAAUUGGCCUGAAGAAGAGCUUGCGUCUGAUUAGCUAGUUGGUGGGGUAAAGGCCUACCAAGGCGACGAUCAGUAGCUGGUCUGAGAGGAUGAGCAGCCACACUGGGACUGAGACACGGCCCAGACUCCUACGGGAGGCAGCAGUGGGGAAUUUUCCGCAAUGGGCGAAAGCCUGACGGAGCAACGCCGCGUGAGGGAGGAAGGUCUUUGGAUUGUAAACCUCUUUUCUCAAGGAAGAAGUUCUGACGGUACUUGAGGAAUCAGCCUCGGCUAACUCCGUGCCAGCAGCCGCGGUAAUACGGGGGAGGCAAGCGUUAUCCGGAAUUAUUGGGCGUAAAGCGUCCGCAGGUGGUCAGCCAAGUCUGCCGUCAAAUCAGGUUGCUUAACGACCUAAAGGCGGUGGAAACUGGCAGACUAGAGAGCAGUAGGGGUAGCAGGAAUUCCCAGUGUAGCGGUGAAAUGCGUAGAGAUUGGGAAGAACAUCGGUGGCGAAAGCGUGCUACUGGGCUGUAUCUGACACUCAGGGACGAAAGCUAGGGGAGCGAAAGGGAUUAGAUACC
RNAcentral lists this ribosomal RNA (715 nucleotides) under Microcystis aeruginosa UADFM2. Its description in RNAcentral is "bacterial SSU rRNA". It matches the Rfam family "Bacterial small subunit ribosomal RNA", at positions 28 to 786 of the family's 1533-position model. Lineage: Bacteria; Bacillati; Cyanobacteriota; Cyanophyceae; Chroococcales; Microcystaceae. The record is from RNAcentral.